GCAGCGCUAUAAACAAUAUCUCCACGAAACCCUUGCUUUCUACACUGGCUAAAAGAUGAAUAAGGCAUAAAGCCGAGCUGACGAAACGCCCAUCUUGCCAUCCCAAGUGACCAUCUCUCUCUCUGACAUUCGUGUGAAAAGCAAGCAGCUGCUCGUUCAUUUCGCCAUGGAAACGCUGGAAAUGUGACUGCUCAAUGACCCCCAUCUUUAACUCCUCCCACAUUCCAGCAUGACAGAAACCUUUGAGGAAUCGAGACUUCAGAAUAAAAGAGCAAUAGACACCCUAACUAAGACAGUGGACCAAGAAAGAAGAGUCAAGAGGACUGGAGAAAAGAGCUAGGGAGAUUCUUUUAUUCUCAGAAUAUGAGUGUUUUGCCUGCAUGGAUGAAGGCGUGUGCACCACAUGCAUGCCUAGUGCCGGCAGAGUCCAGAAGAGGACAUCAGGUUCCCGGAAACGCAGUUAUAAAUGAUUGUGAACUGUCAUUCGGGAUUCAAGAAAAACCUUUCCUGGCCUGGAGAGAUGCCUCAGCAGUUAAAAGAACUUAUUGAUCUUCCAGAUGAUCCAAGUUCAGUUCCCAGCACCCGUAACACAUGGAGGAGCAUGACCAAAUCGUGCCGUAAGAAGGACAAGUCCCUCACCUUGUACAGCCCGCCUGUGAUGAGAGCCAGCAGCAGCAGACCGCCCACAGAGCUGCCCACGAUGAGAGGGACCGGGUUGU
This is a long non-coding RNA of Alexandromys fortis (reed vole), 719 nucleotides long. RefSeq lists it as uncharacterized. NCBI's taxonomy places the organism in Eukaryota, Metazoa, Chordata, Mammalia, Rodentia, Cricetidae. The record is from RefSeq and is a predicted model, not a curated record. The transcript is spliced from 5 exons.